CGGGGCUUGAACCCAGGAACUGUGAGAUCAUGAACUGUGAGAUCAUGACCUGACCCCAAGUAGGCCGCUUAACCGACUGAGCCACCCAGGCGCCCCUACAAGAUGAUUUUUAAAGAUACUUUCAGAUUGAACCAAAGAGCUAGGAGGUGACAGUUCAGUCUCAGAUUUGGGGGCUGGGAAGCUUUGCUAAUCCCACCGCUACCCCCACCCCGCCACCCCCGCAAAACCAGAGAAAUGUAACCGUUCUACUGUGAGAGCACCCAAAGGCGGAUCUCGGAAAAUAGAGAGUCCUGGGAAGACACCAGGAGUCGGCGGGCCCCUGGGAAGGAACCUUCAGGCAAGAAGGCUGCCAGUGGUUUCCUUGCUUUCCUCCUGGGGAGGAGGAGGAGGGCAGUGGGCCAAAGCGCCGGGGCAGGCAAACUCCUGCACGUGGAGAAUGGCGUAUUCAGAGGCAAUCGUUGCAGCACCGUUUACGCUACAGAAGAUUGGGAAGAAGCACAGCAGCCUAUCAGGAGAAACUGGAAGGCAAAUUGAAGACAUCUGCAAAUGACAAACAAAAACCAGAAUGAACCACCCUAGACCCUUAUUAAGGAAACUUGCAAGCAUGUACCUGAAAAGAAAACUGAACCUAGGGGGAAAAAUCGUGAGAUUCAAGAAGAAAGAGUGAAUAAACACUGGGAAAACGAAAUAAAGCCGAACAAAUUAUGACUACUCAAAACUACCUUUCCAGACCAGAAGAAGGUAGGACACACGGCCACAGAGUGCAGCAUGUGAGAUCGGAGAGGUCCUUGCCCAGGACAGACGGCAGCAGAACCACGGACGAAACCGCGAAGAAACCCAUCAGGGUUAGUGGAUACAGCUGCAUCUGUGUGAACACCGCUGGCUGGACCAUCACAACGGGAACAGCCAAGAUACGAAGGCUGGGGAAGUGCAUGGAAAGUGUUUCUACUGCUUUGCAACUUUUAAGUCCAAAGUCAAUUAAAAAAAAAAAAGAAUUUUAAGGGUUAAGAAAAACAAGAACAAACCCGUUUUCGAUAAUACCACUUUUUUAAAAAUGGUAAACAUUUAAGCUGGGAACAUUCUGCUUAUUUUUUUCUUCAUAGUACUCAACACCAUCAAACGUGUUUUAUAUUUAUGUACGGAUCAACUAUCUGUCCUCACUAGCAGGUAGCUCCCCGAGGACAAGGAUUUGGACUGUUUUGUCAAUUACUAUGCUAAACCCAGAGCGCUGCCUGGCAUGUAGUAGGUGCUCGGCAACUAUUUGUUGAGUGAAUAAGGAACAGCUGCUCACUGAUUGGUUUCAUUUAUUUGUAUCUGUUGUGCAAUAUUUUAAUAUUGAGCAUUACCAGGUGAUACAGCUACGAGAUAUUCACCCUUUCCCC
Molecule: long non-coding RNA, 1382 nt
Organism: Felis catus (domestic cat)
Lineage: Eukaryota; Metazoa; Chordata; Mammalia; Carnivora; Felidae
Exons: 3
Source: RefSeq, a predicted model, not a curated record